Molecule: long non-coding RNA, 620 nt
Filed under: Fukomys damarensis (Damara mole-rat)
Lineage: Eukaryota; Metazoa; Chordata; Mammalia; Rodentia; Bathyergidae
Description: lncRNA (ENSFDAG00000031671.1)
Source: RNAcentral
CAACCGUAGUGCACGCUCCUGCUAAUGCACAGCGCCCUGGCGAUGAACACGGUGGUGGAUUCCACGCACACUCACGUGUGCCUAGGUGUACGCAUGCGUCUGUACGCAGUUCUGCACCUGCCUAAGACUUUGGCAAUGGGCUGGGAGAGCAGGCAGGUUCAACUUCUGCUGCCUCCUGGAGGCCUCCAGCAAUCUGUGGCCCAGGGUUCCACGUGCAGCACCCCUGCCUUCCCACUGGCCAGUGCUUCACAGGGGAGGCAGGUGAGGCCUCUGUUCUGCCGUGAGGCUCUGAGCCUGUUGGGAACACGAUGACUGAAGAGCGCUGGUGCUCGAAGAUGGAGGGUCCAGGUGUGAACAGGGCUGUCCUGGUGCGUUCUGGGAACACACAGAAACGGCUGAGACAUCAGAGGUGCACACCAGAGCCCCGCUGCGCCUGCUCUUGGCCUUGAUGUUUUGAGACCUAAGACUAGGGUCUCCACAUCCCCCUUUCUGCUCACCGCCGGAUGCCCCAGCAGGCCUGGAGCCAGCCCUCUCAGCUCUUUCUGAUGGGGUGGCUUUGGGCUCCCUGCAGCCGCUCUGAAGAUUGAAUGGAACCUCAGGCUGAGGGACCCACAGGGGUG